This 253-nucleotide ribosomal RNA is filed under the name uncultured bacterium. Its description in RNAcentral is "partial 16S ribosomal RNA". It matches the Rfam family "Bacterial small subunit ribosomal RNA", at positions 524 to 776 of the family's 1533-position model. The record is from RNAcentral.
UACGAAGGGGGCUAGCGUUGUCCGGAAUUAUUGGGCGUAAAGAGCUUGUAGGCGGUUUGUCGCGUCUGCUGUGAAAAUCCGGGGCUCAACCCCGGACUUGCAGUGGGUACGGGCAGACUAGAGUGUGGUAGGGGAGACUGGAAUUCCUGGUGUAGCGGUGAAAUGCGCAGAUAUCAGGAAGAACACCAAUGGCGAAAGCAGCUCUCUGGGACGGUACUGACGCUGAGACGCGAAAGCGUGGGGAGCGAACAGG